GUUGAAACACCGGUUCACGUACGAUCACCGAAGUUAAGCAAUGUCGACCCUGUUCAGUACCUAGAUGAGUGACCGUUUGGGUAUACCAGGUGCUGUAA
Molecule: ribosomal RNA, 98 nt
Filed under: Acanthosepion pharaonis
Lineage: Eukaryota; Metazoa; Mollusca; Cephalopoda; Sepiida; Sepiidae
Source: RNAcentral